UGCAAGUCGAGGGGCAGCGCGGGGCGGCAACGUCCUGGCGGCGACCGGCGGAAGGGUGCGUAACGCGUGAGCGACAUGCCCGUUGCCCGGGGACAACCGGUGGAAACGCCGACUAAUCCCCGAUGGGAUAUUGUGCCGCAUGGCACGAUAUUGAAAGUUACGGCGGCGACGGAUUGGCUCGCGUCUGAUUAGCUUGUUGGCGGGGUAACGGCCCACCAAGGCUACGAUCGGUAGGGGUUCUGAGAGGAAGGUCCCCACAAUGGAACUGAGACACGGUCCAUACUCC
RNAcentral lists this ribosomal RNA (286 nucleotides) under uncultured bacterium. RNAcentral describes it as "partial 16S ribosomal RNA". It matches the Rfam family "Bacterial small subunit ribosomal RNA", at positions 56 to 339 of the family's 1533-position model. The record is from RNAcentral.